This 1011-nucleotide ribosomal RNA is filed under the name uncultured archaeon. RNAcentral describes it as "bacterial SSU rRNA". It matches the Rfam family "Archaeal small subunit ribosomal RNA", at positions 15 to 1032 of the family's 1478-position model. The record is from RNAcentral.
UGGCGGAGGUUACUGCUAUCGAGGUUCGACUAAGCCAUGCGAGUCGAAUGUAGCAAUACAUGGCGUACUGCUCAGUAACACGUGGAUAACCUACCCUUGAGAUGGGGAUAAACCCGGGAAACUGGGUAUAAUACCCAAUAVAUCUCGACUGCUGGAAUGCAUCGAGAUCCAAAGCUCCGGCGCUCAAGGAUGGAUCUGCGGCCUAUCAGGUAGUAGUGGGUGUAGCGUACCUACUAGCCUACGACGGGUACGGGUUGUGAGAGCAAGAGCCCGGAGAUGGAUUCUGAGACACGAAUCCAGGCCCUACGGGGUGCAGCAGGCGCGAAAACUUUACAAUGCUGGAAACAGCGAUAAGGGGACCUCGAGUGCCAGGUUACAAAUCUGGCUGUCGUGAUGCCUAAAAAGCAUUGCAUAGCAAGGGCCGGGCAAGACCGGUGCCAGCCGCCGCGGUAACACCGGCGGCUCGAGUGGUAACCGUUAUUAUUGGGUCUAAAGGGUCUGUAGCCGGCCGGAUAAGUCUCUUGGGAAAUCUGGCAGCUUAACUGUCAGGCUUUCAGGAGAUACUGUCUGGCUCGAGGCCGGGAGAGGUGAGAGGUACUUCAGGGGGAGGGGUGAAAUCUUGUAAUCCUUGAAGGACCACCAGUGGCGAAGGCGUCUCACCAGAACGGACUGACGGCAAGGGACGAAAGCUAGGGGCACGAACCGGAUUAGAUACCCGGGUAGUCCUAGCCGUAAACGAUACUCGCUAGGUGUCGGCAACGGUGCGACCGUUGUCGGUGCCGUAGGGAAGCCGUGAAGCGAGCCACCUGGGAAGUACGGCCGCAAGGCUGAAACUUAAAGGAAUUGGCGGGGGAGCACCACAACGGGUGGAGCUUGCGGUUUAAUUGGANUCAACGCCGGAAAUCUUACCGGGACCGACAGCAAUAUGAAGGCCAGGCUGAAGACUUUGCCGGAUUAGCUGAGAGGUGGUGCAUGGCCGUCGUCAGUUCGUACUGUGAAGCAUCCUGUUAA